RNAcentral lists this ribosomal RNA (496 nucleotides) under uncultured bacterium. Its description in RNAcentral is "bacterial SSU rRNA". It matches the Rfam family "Bacterial small subunit ribosomal RNA", at positions 29 to 520 of the family's 1533-position model. The record is from RNAcentral.
AGCGAACGUUUGCGGCGGGCUUAACACAUGCAAGUCGAACGAGAAUCCCUUCGGGGAGGAAAGUGGCGCACGGGUGCGUAACACGUGGAUAACCAACCCAUUGGUUUGGGACAACACCGGGAAACUGGUGCUAAUACCAGAUGUGUCGCAGCUGUCUUCAGGCGGUUGCGAGAAAGGCCCGCAAGGGUCGCCAACGGACGGGUCCGCGUCCCAUCAGCUAGUUGGUGAGGUAAUGGCUCACCAAGGCAAAGACGGGUAGCUGGUCUGAGAGGAUGAUCAGCCACACUGGAACUGAGACACGGUCCAGACUCCUACGGGAGGCAGCAGUGGGGAAUAUUGCGCAAUGGGCGAAAGCCUGACGCAGCCACGCCGCGUGAGCGAUGAAGGUCUUCGGAUCGUAAAGCUCUGUGGGGGGAGAAGAAGAAAGCCGGUGAAGAGCCGGCCCUGACGGUAUCCCCUUAGCAAGCACCGGCUAACUCCGUGCCAGCAGCCGCGG